CAAUGAGAGUUCUGCAAGAACUGCUAAUUCUUACGCCCCGGAUUUAACCUCCCGGCUCUCAUAUU
This 65-nucleotide transfer RNA is filed under the name Osteolaemus tetraspis (dwarf crocodile). RNAcentral's name for it is "tRNA-Ser". Lineage: Eukaryota; Metazoa; Chordata; Crocodylia; Crocodylidae. The record is from RNAcentral.